CCUACGUGAGGCAGCAGUGGGGAAUAUUGCGCAAUGGGCGAAAGCCUGACGCAGCGACGCCGCGUGAGGGAUGAAGGUCUUCGGAUCGUAAACCUCUGUCAGCAGGGAAGAACGGUCACUGUGCUAAUCAGCAGUGAAUUGACGGUACCUGCAAAGGAAGCACCGGCUAACUCCGUGCCAGCAGCCGCGGUAAUACGGAGGGUGCGAGAGUUAAUCGGAAUUACUGGGCGUAAAGCGCUCGUAGGCGGUAUGUCAAGUCAAGGGUGAAAUCCCCGCGCUCAACGUGGGAACUGCCUUUGAAACUGGCAAACUGGAGUGUGUGAGAGGAUAGUGGAAUUCCAGGUGUAGGAGUGAAAUCCGUAGAUAUCUGGAGGAACAUCAGUGGCGAAGGCGACUAUCUGGCACAUAACUGACGCUGAGGAGCGAAAGCGUGGGUAGCAAACAGGAUUAGAUACCCCAGUAGUC
Molecule: ribosomal RNA, 465 nt
Filed under: uncultured bacterium
Lineage: Bacteria
Description: partial 16S ribosomal RNA
Rfam family: Bacterial small subunit ribosomal RNA
Source: RNAcentral